Molecule: ribosomal RNA, 273 nt
Filed under: uncultured bacterium
Lineage: Bacteria
Description: partial 16S ribosomal RNA
Rfam family: Bacterial small subunit ribosomal RNA
Source: RNAcentral
UACGUAGGGUGCAAGCGUUAAUCGGAAUUACUGGGCGUAAAGCGUGCGCAGGCGGUUUUGUAAGACAGGCGUGAAAUCCCCGGGCUCAACCUGGGAAUUGCGCUUGUGACUGCAAAGCUGGAGUGCGGCAGGGGGGAGUGAUUACCGCGUGUAGCAGUGAAAUAGCGUAGAUAUGCGGAGGAACACCGAUGGCGAAGGCAAUCCCCUCGGACCGUGCACUGACGCUCAUGCACGAAAGCGUGGGGAGCAAACAGGAUUAGAAACCCGGGUAGU